AGGGGUUGAGAAGCGGACAAUACAAUGUAAGGAUAUUCAAUUCACCAUCUAACCAUUAAUCAAGCCAUACACUGAGACAUCAGCAGGGAAAAGGGGUCACAUGUCACACCAGAGGUGGGAAUGCAAAGUCUAGGACAGGACAUCGGGGACCAAUUUAAAGCACCAAACCGGACCUUUCUCGCCAAGUUUAUACUCUGGACAAACGAGAAACGGAAAGAAAUUCAAAACGACUUAGGGAUUUGUAACAGCAAUUAGCACUGUAUAAACCACAAGAGCAAUAUAUUCUUUAACUGUCCUAAUGGAGUGCUAAUCUGUAAUUCGUCAAACUCUGGUCAUUAUAGUACUCAGUAGGCUUUCAGUCAUCAAGAUUAGUGACACUCUAUGUCCGCAUUGACUUUACAUAGGGGAAUACUCAAGAAAGAGCUUUAUUUCUAAGAAAGAUCGAAGAUAGGGUGUGGGCUUGUAUAGCGAGACAGAAGUGCAAAAAAAGUCGAAGUUUAAAGAUGUGAAGCGAUUUCAUCCAAAGAAAAAAUAUUUAUUUAUUUUUAAAAGAAAUUCUGGUUGCAUCACAAACUAAGAGAAUGUCAAAUAUAAGAUUUCAAUUUUUCGAGGAGUGUGGAAUUAAUCAAUUUCGAAAAUGUGGAGAUAAUUGUUUUCUUAAAGCAAGAAAGUGAGAUAAACAACAAAAAAUAAAUAAAUAAAAAAGAAAUGAACGACAGAAAACAGAAGAUUAAAAAAAAAGAAAGAAAGAAAUGGGAAACUGCAGGAAAAGAAUUUAGAUUGUGAUGGUUUUAAUUUUUCUGAAUGAAUUUUUUUUUAAAUAGUAGUUUUUUCCGAUUUUAUUUUAUUUAUAUGUUAUGUAUAUUGCUUUAAUUACAUGCUUUACAUAAAAUAUGACAUUUAUUUGAAAAUAUACUUUUGAAUAUAUUGUAUUGUACGAUUUUUCUUACAUUAUGUUCAAGAUUUGUAAAAUAGCAGUUCUUAGCUCUUUGCUAAAUUCGUUGGGAGUUAUUAUUACAUUAUGCUAUUUACAAUUAAAAAAUAUCUAAAAUUAUUGAUAUUUAGCGAUUAAGUUCAGUAACUAAUUUUACUUGUGUUUGUCUAAAUUUUUGAUAUAUUGUAGAUUUAGUUUUGAAGUCCUGUCACUUAAACUGUAAUUUAAGCUGUCAAAAUAAAUAAAUAAAUAAAUAUGAACAUUUAAUGAAAUUAAAAA
This is a long non-coding RNA of Parasteatoda tepidariorum (common house spider), 1213 nucleotides long. RefSeq lists it as uncharacterized. The record is from RefSeq and is a predicted model, not a curated record. Lineage: Eukaryota; Metazoa; Arthropoda; Arachnida; Araneae; Theridiidae.